AUUCAAUCGCAGAUAAGACUUCCUGGGUCUGUGAAUCGACUCGAGCAAUUUCUCUUCCAAGUAAGAACUUUCUCUUAUAGGUGGUGCUAAUGUCGACGACUUCGUUAAAUAGAAAAAGGAGUAUGAUAGGUGAAAUAUCGGAUUUGUGAUACAAAAAUCCAAUAUGUAAAUGUGAAAAAUAUGUUGCAAUUCAAGUAGUUGGCCCUACGAAAGACACCGAAAGUAAGUUGUUUUGCAAUUGUAAAAACAGACAAUGUGACUUUUUUUGUUGGUUAGAUCCCUUGAGUGCACAAGAAAAGGAUCGGUCCAAAUGUGUGGUUGGUAGCUUUGACAAAGAAGAUGAAGAAAUUUCGAAACCCGAAUCGAAUGCCAAUGAAGUACUAUUUACCUUGGUGAGGUCUGAAAUGGAGAUUAUUGCUAAAGCAAUAGAGUCAAACAAAAAACAUAUUGAAAGAAUUAUCAAUAGGAUUAAGUAUCUUUGGGUUAUCAGCGUUAUUGUUGUUGGAAUUGUGGCAAUGACUAAGUAGACGAUUAUGUUGUUUCUUUGCAUUAUUAUUGUUGCUGCAAUUAUGACUAAGUAGAUAUCAUUUUAAUUUGAUGAUUUAUUUAAGGACUAA
This is a long non-coding RNA of Andrographis paniculata, 617 nucleotides long. RefSeq lists it as uncharacterized. The transcript is spliced from 2 exons. Lineage: Eukaryota; Viridiplantae; Streptophyta; Magnoliopsida; Lamiales; Acanthaceae. The record is from RefSeq and is a predicted model, not a curated record.